RNAcentral lists this ribosomal RNA (1086 nucleotides) under epibiont metagenome. RNAcentral's name for it is "bacterial SSU rRNA". It matches the Rfam family "Bacterial small subunit ribosomal RNA", at positions 8 to 1106 of the family's 1533-position model. The record is from RNAcentral.
AGAGUUUGAUCCUGGCUCAGAGUGAACGCUGGCGGCGUGCUUAACACAUGCAAGUCGAACGGUAACAGACUCUUUGGAGUGCUGACGAGUGGCGAACGGGUGAGUAAGGUAUAGUUAACUUGCCCCUUGGAGAGGGAUAGCCACUGGAAACGGUGAUUAAUACCUCAUACUUCUAUUUAUCAGAAGAUGAAUAGAGAAAGGAGUUAAAUCUACCAAGGGAUAGGACUAUAUGGUAUCAGUUAUUUGUGGGGUAAAGGCCUACCAAGACAAUGACGCCUAGCUGGUCUGAGAGGAUGAUCAGCCACACUGGAACUGAGACACGGUCCAGACUCCUACGGGAGGCAGCAGUGGGGAAUAUUGCACAAUGGGGGAAACCCUGAUGCAGCAACGCCGCGUGGAGGAAGAAACCCUUAGGGGCGUAAACUCCUUUUAUCAAGGAAGAAGAUGACGGUACUUGAUGAAUAAGCACCGGCUAACUCCGUGCCAGCAGCCGCGGUAAUACGGAGGGUGGCAAGCGUUACUCGGAAUCACUGGGCGUAAAGCGCAUGUAGGCGGUUAAUUAAGUUAGAAGUGAAAGCCCACAGCUUAACUGUGGAACAGCUUCUAAACUGAUACUAGAGUCUGGGAGAGGAAGAUGGAAUUAGUAGUGUAGGGGUAAAAUCCGUAGAGAUUACUAGGAAUACCGAAAAGCGAAGGCGAUCUUCUGGAACAGUACUGACGCUGAGAUGCGAAAGCGUGGGGAGCCAACAGGAUUAGAUACCCUGGUAGUCCACGCCCUAAACGAUGAAUGUUAGUCGUUGGAGUGCUAGCCACUUCAGUGAUGCACCUAACGCAUUAAACAUUCCGCCUGGGGAGUACGGCCGCAAGGUUAAAACUCAAAGGAAUAGACGGGGACCCGGCCACAAGUGGUGGAGCAUGUGGUUUAAUUCGAAGAUACGCGAAGAACCUUACCUGGCCUUGACAUAUACCAGAACCUACCAGAGAUGGUGGGGUGCCUUCGGGAACUGGUAUACAGUGCUGCACGGGCUGUCGUCAGCUCGUGUCGUGAGAUGUUGGAAUUAAGUCGCCCAAACGAGCGCAACCCUC